UCUCCGUUGGUGAACCAGCGGAGGGAUCAUUAUUGAGUGUUACAACUCCCAAACCCACUGUGGACCUUACCAUUCGUUGCUUCGGCAGGAGAUCCUGACGCUGUAAGGCGCUGGUUCCCUUGCCGAGGGCCUAAAUUCUUGAUUUACUUAGUGGAAUUCUCUCUGAGUGGCAAAUGCAAAUAAAUUAAAACUUUCAACAACGGAUCUCUUGGUUCUG
This 217-nucleotide unclassified non-coding RNA is filed under the name plant metagenome. Its description in RNAcentral is "partial contains small subunit ribosomal RNA, internal transcribed spacer 1, and 5.8S ribosomal RNA". The record is from RNAcentral.